GUUCCCACAUCUUCUACUCCACCCCCACGGUUUCUGCUGCUGCAGAGGAUGGAGACGGAGACAGAGGACUAGCCAGGAAGAGGAGCCAGACUUUAACGCAUUCCACUAAGCAAGUAUUUACCGAGCCUUUUGGGGUGGGUACAAAGAAAUGCCUGAAGUGGCCUCUCACAUAUGGAGAAGCGACUUUGGAUAACCUCCACUUCCCCCAGUAUGUUACUUGGAGAGCACACUUUACCUGACGCUGACAACGCAGAGACUUGAAGCAGCAAGUUAGGAGGAAGAAAACCGCUAAGGGCGAUUGGAAGCAAAUGACAGUUAAAGGACAUUCUGACAAUGACACAGGAUGGAAUGCAGAAAAAAAUAAGCUCAAGAACUCGAAUUGGAGUUAAUGCCACGGACUGUCCAGUGAGGGGGCAUUGCUGCAUUGUCAAGGUUUACUGAUGAUCAGUCAUAGCCGCAUCUCCAAGAAAGCUCAGUACACUCAGACCAGACCCGAGCGACUCCCAGAGCCUGAGCAACGACUGGAUCUAAGUCACAAAUGCACAGCACUCUUCAAACCUUCCGCCUUUGGGUGCCGGGGUGAGAGAAAACACAGUGCUCGGUUUACAGGAUGAGCCUUACCCACCUCCUCCUCAGAGGGCUGAAGUGCUGAGUCCCAGCUCCACGGGGCUCUUCUCCAAGCUUCUGAGGCACCAGCACAAAUGAGGUGACAACAUCCCCUGCACCAGCUCCCUCCUCCAAGCUUCCAGGUGGGGAUGACCCCACCUUCUUCCAUUGCAUGGCUGCAGGAAGCAGUUAUUAUCUCAGUGUCCCCUUUUGCCUUUUCAGUCUUCCAAGAUCUGUUGAAUCAAUCUCCUCUACUAAAUUCU
This is a long non-coding RNA of Manis javanica (Malayan pangolin), 869 nucleotides long. RefSeq lists it as uncharacterized. NCBI's taxonomy places the organism in Eukaryota, Metazoa, Chordata, Mammalia, Pholidota, Manidae. The record is from RefSeq and is a predicted model, not a curated record.